GUGCCAGCAGCCGCGGUAAUUCCAGCUCCAAUAGCGCAUAUUAAAGUUGUUGUGGUUAAAAAGCUCGUAGUUGAACCUUGGGCCUGGCUGGCCGGUCCGCCUCACCGCGUGCACUGGUCCGGCCGGGCCUUUCCCUCUGUGGAACCCCAUACCCUUCACUGGGCGUGGCGGGGAAACAGGACAUUUACUUUGAAAAAAUUAGAGUGCUCCAGGCAGGCCUAUGCUCGAAUACAUUAGCAUGGAAUAAUAAAAUAGGACGCGCGGUUCUAUUUUGUUGGUUUAUAGGACCGCCGUAAUGAUUAAUAGGGACAGUCGGGGGCAUCAGUAUUCAACUGUCAGAGGUGAAACUCUUGGAUCAGUUGAAGACUAACUACUGCGAAAGCAUUUGCCAAGGAUGUUUUCACUAAUCAGGGACGAAAGUUAGGGGAUCGAAGACGAUUAGAUACCGUCGUAGUCUUAACCAUAAACUAUGCCGACUAGGGAUCGGACGGUGUUAUUCAUGACCCGUUCGGCACCUUACGAGAAAUCAAAGUGCUUGGGCUCCAGGGGGAGUAUGGUCGCAAGGCUGAAACUUAAAGAAAUUGACGGAAGGGCACCACCAGGGGUGGAGCCUGCGGCUUAAUUUGACUCAACACGGGGAAACUCACCAGGUCCAGACACAAUAAGGAUUGACAGAUUGAGAGCUCUUUCUUGAUUUUGUGGUGGUGAUGCAUGGCCGUUCUUAGUUGUGGGGUGACUUGUCUGCUUAAUUGCGAUACGAACGAGACCUUAACUGCUAAUAGCCCGCAUUGCUCCGGCAGUGCGCUGGCUCUAGAGGACUUCGCUCAGCGAGAGUUGAGCAAUAACAGUCUGUGAUGCCUUAGAUGUUCUGGGCCGCACGCGCGCUACCC
This 890-nucleotide ribosomal RNA is filed under the name uncultured fungus. RNAcentral's name for it is "SSU rRNA". It matches the Rfam family "Eukaryotic small subunit ribosomal RNA", at positions 564 to 1503 of the family's 1831-position model. The record is from RNAcentral. Lineage: Eukaryota; Fungi.